Molecule: long non-coding RNA, 633 nt
Filed under: Numida meleagris (helmeted guineafowl)
Lineage: Eukaryota; Metazoa; Chordata; Aves; Galliformes; Numididae
Description: lncRNA (ENSNMEG00000010568.1)
Source: RNAcentral
GUCAGAGAGUUUGCCGUUCUAUUAAAAGAAGAGGAAAAACUUGCUUACCGAUUGAUUUCAAGAAUGUAUCAUUUUCCACACAUUUCUGUCUCUUCUGUUCUAAGUCUGCAGUCGCGCGGCUGGUGGUGUGGCACAGACGGAGCAAGGGUUACAUCAAGGCUGUUCUCUGGACCGUGCAAACAGUCUAGACCAAUGACCUGCAGCAUCAUGCCCUUUGAAGAAGAGGCAAGUUCGGUCACGACGAAGAAAAAUCAAGGCGUACCCCUUUUAACAAUAGGGAGCAGCUCGUGGCUGCAAAGAGGUGUCCACCUGCCAUUCAGUUUUGCAGUGGGAUCAUUUGUAUCACUUCACAAAUUGCUGAGCAAGAGAAUCCAACUUUGGGAGCAUGCUCAUUGUGAUACCCUCAGUGAUUUCUGUUUCAUGCAUUCUCCUCAGGGCUGUGAUUUUAACAGACCAGUGAAAGAAAAAAUUUCAAAAGAAAAGGAAACUGAAGAAGUUAAUUGUACCAGAGCAGAAUCCAGAGAAGAAAAAAGUAGCCAUGGAUUCCAGUGCUCACUUCUACCUUUGCUGCAUCUCCUUUUAAACAGAGAAAGCUUUCCCUUAAACUACAGUAAUUCAAGGCUUUCUGACUGA